Molecule: ribosomal RNA, 253 nt
Filed under: uncultured bacterium
Lineage: Bacteria
Description: partial 16S ribosomal RNA
Rfam family: Bacterial small subunit ribosomal RNA
Source: RNAcentral
GACGAACCGUGCGAACGUUGUUCGGAAUCACUGGGCUUAAAGGGCGCGUAGGCGGGAUGGCAAGUCGGUCGUGAAAUCCUUCGGCUCAACCGAAGAACGUCGGCCGAUACUGCCGUUCUUGAGGGAUGCAGAGGAGAUUGGAAUUCCCGGUGUAGCGGUGAAAUGUGUAGAGAUCGGGAGGAACACCGGUGGCGAAGGCGGGUCUCUGGGCAUCUCCUGACGCUGAGGCGCGAAAGCGUGGGGAGCAAACGGG